CUGGCUCAGAACGAACGCUGGCGGCAGGUCUUAGGCAUGCAAGUCGAACGGAUGACAGAGAGCUUGCUCUCUGAAGUCAGUGGCGCACGAGUGAGUAACGCGUGGGAAACUGCCCUUCACUGGGGAAUAACGUUUGGAAACGAACGCUAAUACCGCAUACGCCCGCAAGGGGAAAGAUUUAUCGGUGAUGGAUGUGCCCGCGUUGGAUUAGCUAGUUGGUGGGGUAAUAGCCUACCAAGGCGAUGAUCCAUAGCUGGUCUGAGAGGACGAUCAGCCACGCUGGAACUGAGACACGGUCCAGACUCCUACGGGAGGCAGCAGCUAAGAAUAUUGGGCAAUGGAGGAAACUCUGACCCAGCCAAUGCCGCGUGAAUGAAGAAGGCCUUCGGGUUGUAAAGUUCUUUUAGUCAUGAAGAUGAUGACAGUAGUGACAGAAAAAGCACCGGCUAACUUCGUGCCAGCAGCCGC
RNAcentral lists this ribosomal RNA (468 nucleotides) under uncultured bacterium. Its description in RNAcentral is "bacterial SSU rRNA". It matches the Rfam family "Bacterial small subunit ribosomal RNA", at positions 19 to 518 of the family's 1533-position model. The record is from RNAcentral.